RNAcentral lists this ribosomal RNA (412 nucleotides) under Verrucomicrobiota bacterium. Its description in RNAcentral is "Verrucomicrobia bacterium partial 16S ribosomal RNA". It matches the Rfam family "Bacterial small subunit ribosomal RNA", at positions 355 to 776 of the family's 1533-position model. The record is from RNAcentral. Lineage: Bacteria; Pseudomonadati; Verrucomicrobiota.
UGGGGAAUAUUGCGCAAUGGGGGAAACCCUGACGCAGCGACGCCGCGUGCGGGAUGAAGGCCUUCGGGUUGUAAACCGCUUUUGAUUGGGAGCAAGCCUUUUGGGUGAGUGUACCUUUCGAAUAAGCGCCGGCUAACUACGUGCCAGCAGCCGCGGUAAUACGUAGGGCGCAAGCGUUAUCCGGAAUUAUUGGGCGUAAAGAGCUUGUAGGCGGUUCGUCGCGUCUGGUGUGAAAGCCCAUCGCUUAACGGUGGGUUUGCGCCGGGUACGGGCGGGCUAGAGUGCAGUAGGGGAGACUGGAAUUCCCGGUGUAACGGUGGAAUGUGUAGAUAUCGGGAAGAACACCAAUGGCGAAGGCAGGUCUCUUGGCUGUUACUGACGCUGAGAAGCGAAAGCGUGGGGAGCGAACAGG